This 465-nucleotide ribosomal RNA is filed under the name uncultured bacterium. RNAcentral describes it as "partial 16S ribosomal RNA". It matches the Rfam family "Bacterial small subunit ribosomal RNA", at positions 28 to 507 of the family's 1533-position model. The record is from RNAcentral.
GACGAACGCUGGCGGCGUGCUUAACACAUGCAAGUCGAACGGAAAGGCCCCUUUGGGGGUACUCGAGUGGCGAACGGGUGAGUAACACGUGAGUAACCUGCCCUUGACUUCGGGAUAACUUCAGGAAACUGGGGCUAAUACCGGAUAGGAAUCCUUGCUGCAUGGUGGGGGUUGGAAAGCUUCGGCGGUUUUGGAUGGACUCGCGGCUUAUCAGCUUGUUGGUGGGGUAGUGGCUUACCAAGGCUUUGACGGGUAGCCGGCCUGAGAGGGCGACCGGCCACAUUGGGACUGAGAUACGGCCCAGACUCCUACGGGAGGCAGCAGUGGGGAAUAUUGCACAAUGGGCGGAAGCCUGAUGCAGCAAUGCCGCGUGCGGGAUGACGGCCUUCGGGUUGUAAACCGCUUUCAGCAGGGGCGAAGCUUGUGGUGACGGUACCUGCAGAAGAAGCACCGGCUAACUACGUG